GGGGAUAUAGCUCAAUGGGAGAGCGUCCGCCUUGCACGCGGAAGGUUGCCGGUUCAAGUCCGGCUAUCUCCA
This 72-nucleotide transfer RNA is filed under the name Pseudomonadota bacterium. RNAcentral describes it as "tRNA-Ala". It matches the Rfam family "tRNA". Rfam says of the family: Transfer RNA (tRNA) molecules are approximately 80 nucleotides in length. Their secondary structure includes four short double-helical elements and three loops (D, anti-codon, and T loops). The record is from RNAcentral. Lineage: Bacteria; Pseudomonadati; Pseudomonadota. RNAcentral also lists the same sequence under 1 other name.